RNAcentral lists this ribosomal RNA (253 nucleotides) under uncultured prokaryote. Its description in RNAcentral is "partial 16S ribosomal RNA". It matches the Rfam family "Bacterial small subunit ribosomal RNA", at positions 525 to 777 of the family's 1533-position model. The record is from RNAcentral.
ACGUAGGGGGCAAGCGUUGUCCGGAUUUAUUGGGCGUAAAGAGCGUGUAGGCGGCCAUGCAGGUCAGCUGUGAAAACUCGAGGCUCAACCUCGAGACGUCGGUUGAAACCGUAUGGCUAGAGUCCGGAAGAGGAGAGUGGAAUUCCCGGUGUAGCGGUGAAAUGCGCAGAUAUCGGGAAGAACACCCGUGGCGAAGGCGGCUACCUGGACAGGUACUGACGCUGAAGCGCGAAAGCUAGGGGAGCAAACAGGA